Long non-coding RNA from Phascolarctos cinereus (koala), 431 nucleotides. RefSeq lists it as uncharacterized. Lineage: Eukaryota; Metazoa; Chordata; Mammalia; Diprotodontia; Phascolarctidae. The record is from RefSeq and is a predicted model, not a curated record.
UAUCAGGAAGCAAGCAGAACAGGGACUCACGCCUAUAACUGAUUGCAACUGAAAAAAAAAAAUGGGUUUGUACAAUCAAAAGCAUCAGAAGAGAACAUGCACUGGAAGCUGUAAUCUUAAUCACCUGGUUCUUAUACUUUGAAGGAAUCCUUGAUUUUAUGUGUGAGUACUCCUGAGCAUUACUCGCAUGAAUGCAAUUAAACCCCUCUCCACUUUCUUAUCCAGGGUGACUUUUGGCCAUGUUUCUUUCAUUCAUCCUCCACAUGAACAAGACACCUUGCUCCUUUUCUGUCUUAGAAUUCCAAAGGUAUCCAUGUACAAUGCAGGCAAUCUAUCCAUUUUCAUUACAUGAGAUUUUUUUUUUUGCAAUGACUGUAUAAGGAGAAAAAUUACAAAGUCUUACUGAAAAUAAAGACCACAUAUUAAUAGUA